GAUGAACGCUGGCGGCGUGCCUAAUACAUGCAAGUCGAGCGAACAGAUGAGGAGCUUGCUCCUCUGACGUUAGCGGCGGACGGGUGAGUAACACGUGGAUAACCUACCUAUCAGACUGGGAUAACUUCGGGAAACCGGAGCUAAUACCGGAUAAUAUCUUGCACCGCAUGGUUCAAUAGUGAAAGACGGUUUUGCUGUCACUUAUAGAUGGAUCCGCGCCGCAUUAGCUAGUUGGUAAGGUAACGGCUUACCAAGGCUACGAUGCGUAGCCGACCUGAGAGGGUGAUCGGCCACACUGGAACUGAGACACGGUCCAGACUCCUACGGGAGGCAGCAGUAGGGAAUCUUCGGCAAUGGGCGAAAGCCUGACGGAGCAACGCCGCGUGAGUGAUGAAGGUCUUCGGAUCGUAAAACUCUGUUAUUAGGGAAGAACAAAUGUGUAAGUAACUAUGCACGUCUUGACGGUACCUAAUCAGAAAGCCACGGCUAACUACGUG
Molecule: ribosomal RNA, 497 nt
Filed under: uncultured bacterium
Lineage: Bacteria
Description: partial 16S ribosomal RNA
Rfam family: Bacterial small subunit ribosomal RNA
Source: RNAcentral